GGAUUUUUAAAAGAUAAAGAGAGUGAGGAGGACUACCGGGAUAGUAGGAGAAGAUAAAAACACUUGAAAUCAAUGUUGUUUUUGAUGCCUUGAUUCUGACAUUCUGUUAUAUUCUUUUUGAUUGAUUCAUAGCUUAGGGCUUGAAUGAGAUAGACUACUGAUCAAUUCAUUUGUCUUCUGUGCAUCACUAGCUCUGGUUGAAGUAGUUGAAAGCAUUAGAUGUUUCUUGAUUGGUGAGAUAAACAUCAUCUUUGGAAACUAUCAAGUAUGGUACACAACUGCGCAUUGCAAUCCCCCAGCUUGAAUCUUUACUACUAUCAUUUCUGUGCUGUAAAAGAAUAAGAAAGGUUGAUAAAAGCAAAUCCUGGUAUAGGAUUUGCUGACCCCAUUUUGUCGCCUGGGAAGCAAUUUUAAACCUGUAAUUGUUAUGUUUGGUUUUUAAGCCUCUCCACUUUUGACUGGCAUGA
RNAcentral lists this unclassified non-coding RNA (467 nucleotides) under Hevea brasiliensis (rubber tree). Lineage: Eukaryota; Viridiplantae; Streptophyta; Magnoliopsida; Malpighiales; Euphorbiaceae. The record is from RNAcentral.